RNAcentral lists this ribosomal RNA (562 nucleotides) under Boophis schuboeae. RNAcentral's name for it is "partial 16S ribosomal RNA". It matches the Rfam family "Bacterial large subunit ribosomal RNA", at positions 1809 to 2597 of the family's 2925-position model. Lineage: Eukaryota; Metazoa; Chordata; Amphibia; Anura; Mantellidae. The record is from RNAcentral.
AAAAACAUCGCCUCUUGCUAUUACAUAAGAGGUCCAGCCUGCCCAGUGACCAAAUUUAACGGCCGCGGUACUCUAACCGUGCAAAGGUAGCACAAUCACUUGUUCUUUAAAUGAGGACUAGAAUCAACGGCAUCACGAGGAUCUUACUGUCUCCCCCCUCCAAUCAGUGAAACUAAUCUCCCCGUGAAGAAGCGGGAAUAGAAAUAUAAGACGAGAAGACCCCAUGGAGCUUUAAACCCAGUAACACCCACUUAUUUUAUACCCUCACAUUCUACAAGGUCAUGUUUAUUUGGUUUUAGGUUGGGGUGACCACGGAGUACAAAAUAACCUCCAUGAAAAAAGGAUUAAUAAUCUUUAUCAGAGAAAUACACUUCCAAGAAUUAACAAAUUAAUUUUUAAUGAUCCGAUAUUCGAUCAACGAACCAAGUUACCCUGGGGAUAACAGCGCAAUCCACCUCAAGAGCUCCUAUCGACAGGUGGGUUUACGACCUCGAUGUUGGAUCAGGGUAUCCGAGUGGUGCAGCAGCUACUAAUGGUUCGUUUGUUCAACGAUUUAAACCCU